Long non-coding RNA from Mus musculus (house mouse), 2660 nucleotides. RefSeq annotates it as predicted gene, 39608. The record is from RefSeq and is a predicted model, not a curated record. The transcript is spliced from 3 exons. Lineage: Eukaryota; Metazoa; Chordata; Mammalia; Rodentia; Muridae.
AAAAUCACAUUCAAGCUGCUCCUCUUAUAAAGGAAACAACUGCCCACCCGUCUCUCCAGCUGAAAACUGUGCCCAUCUGGCAGGGACACAGUUGAAGAAACGAGGAGUUCCCCAGAAUGUCCCUUCUCCCCCAGUGGCCUCUGGAGAAGGACUUUACCAUGCAGCCCUGGCUGGCCUGGGAUUCUGCAUGAUGGAUGAGGCCAGCUUCAGAUUGGUGGUGUCUCCCCUGCCUCCUGGCUAGCAAUAAGACUUCUUAAUAAUAUGAAAAUAGGCAUUGUGCUUUAUCUGGAACCACCCAGCUCUCUGGAAGAGAGCACUGAGCCCAGACCUUGCUCGGGUAUCCUCAGAGUCCACAGGAGGGAGCAACCAGGCUUCUCCUGGUACAGGCUACCAGGGUCUGGAUACCCCAGAGCUGAGCCCGCAGAAAUGGAUCUGAAGCCACCGGCCCUGCUGAGCUGCUCUUCCUGUGGCAUCUUUGGUCUAAUAAUAAUCCCAGGGAAACCGUAUCAGUGUUUCCUAGAAACACAUGGCAGACUGUAAUCUGUCCCACAUUGAACCACAGACAGACUUCUGCAUACUUGGGAUUACACGCAUCCUCUCAGCUGGGAUGCUAUUCUAAACCACAAGCACAGCUCGUCAUGUCUGUGGUCAGCAGGACCCCUCAAGAUAUCUGUUGAUUUCCUUUGCUCCCUCUACUGUGGUUGAAGGGGUGGGUAGGAGAGUGGGAGGCAAAGGCCUCCCAUCACAGCCUCCCCCAGCCCCCACAGGCUCAGAGUGUAGGCCAAAGAUCAGAGAGCACAGUGCAACCCGGGGGAAAAGCUGACUAAGUCACUGCAUUGCUUCAGCUGUACAGGGUGCCAGAGACAGCUCUCCGUCCUCACGCCACUCUUGGCCAGGUCUCUGCUCACCACUCUCUGCGUUGUUUCCCACUGAGUCACCGCCCACAGAGCUGGCUGGCAUGUUCCCAACUCCUGCACUCCACCCAGGGCCCCUCCCAAACACCCCUAGCAAUUCCUACUCUCUGUGAGGCCCUGAAGUGACACUGGACCCUAGUGUGUGGGAACCCUGGUUGCUUGUAUAUUCCCUGAGGCCACAGCAUAUCAUGACCAAAGCAGUGGUGGAGAGCAGAGCCCUCAGCCACCAUCCUUUCAGGCCACCUGUCUAGUUUGAAUUUUGCAUAUGGAGACAGUGACAUGAAAAUAAAGAGUGCUGUGCCCCCACCCCCAACCUGGACAGGGUGUUAGGGCUAACCCAGGCUACGAGAACACACUUUCAUGCUCUGUUCCAGCAGAAUUCAUCUUUCUUCAGAGAAGUGAAAAUUACUGGGGAUCCUAUGAGUGAAAACUGAAGAGAAAGGACCCUCUGUGAGGCAGGCAGGCUACGGGCAGCACCUGUGUUCUGGAGACAGGAGUUCUGGAUACACAUGUGACUUAACAGGCAUUAAACUUGAAAAUGUUCAUUUCCAGAGCUAAUAUAAUAUACAGCAAUGGCUUCCAAGAAGAUGUUGUCUAACUUAAUGAACUAAUGUUCUUAUCUAGUAGACACGUAUAUUCCCCAAGGGGUCACUUCCUCCUGUCCUUCCUUCCUAUGGAGUAGAGGAAUACUGGCUAAUUCAGGUAUCACAGAUAGGUGGGGAGAGGUGGUUAGCCCUCCUUUGUAAAUCUGUCCUGGGAAUUGGCUAUACUCGUUCUAAAACCCUGUGAUUUUAAGGUCACGCUGACAAAAUAUUCCUUUGUAUUCUUGCUGCUGUCUGGAACCCGCUUUCAUCUCAUGGAUUAAAGAGAGCUCAGGUUUCUGUGUUUUAAUAAAUGUGACCUAGAUAGUGAUAAACAGCCCAUGCCACAUUUGUGAUCUGUUACAGAACAUCUAAAGAUGCCUUUGAAAUUCUGAUUAGCACACGGCAGGGGCUUGAACCACUCACACUCCAGGAGUCUUGCUGUUGAAGACAAUUUUUCUUGUCCUCCAAUACCCUGUUUCCCAACACAAACUACCUGGGUCCUUCUUCCCACUCACCCCACACAGCAAACUUGAAUAAACGAAUGUCUUUCACGCAAACUCCAUUAGACGUCUUUCCAAGAUCCGUGUUCCUGUGGGAAGAUCCUCCGGCUCCCAGAGCUCCAUUUCUUAGUGCAGCUUUUCUAGGACGAGGGUGUUGUUCAGUGACGGAGUGCUUGCCCGUUGAGUAUGAUGCUCCAUUCCUGGCACAGGAAAGACAAACACCAUCCGUGUGCAGCAGCCGCACUCCCAAAAUGUCCGGAGGGAUGCGGCACACUGUGUAGCCUCUGCCUUCACUGAACUGGGCCUCAACUGUUCCUCUCUUAGGGAAGUGAAGAUCAGUGAAGAUGUGAGACCCACAAUUGUUGCACAGCUAGCUGUACCAGCAAACCAAGCUGUCUCCAAUCACUCUGUGGAGUCCUGUUUGUACCCUGCAAACAUCUUACGUCCUCCACGGGUCUUACCUCAGCAGGAACAUCCAAUUGGUCCUUUGAAGCAGCAAGAAACUGCAGUACACCAACAGAAGUUUUGGGGUGCCUUUCUCUCUAUUGAAUCCUGACAAAUGCAGCUCAACUACACAAUGUAAGAUGGACCAAUACAUGCCUGUCAUUACCAAAGAAUCCUUCAGCAUGUUUCCUUUCACAUGCUUGCUUUAGCAGAGCAUC